UGCCACAGCCAUAUCACCCUGCAGCCCAAGACCGGUUACUCACUGAAGCUAAGCAGGGCUGAGCCUGGUCAAUACCUGGAUGGGAGACCACAUGGGAAAACUAGGUUGCUGUUGGAA
RNAcentral lists this ribosomal RNA (117 nucleotides) under Danio rerio (zebrafish). Lineage: Eukaryota; Metazoa; Chordata; Actinopteri; Cypriniformes; Danionidae. The record is from RNAcentral.